GGUUGAUCCUGCCAGUAGUCAUAUGCUUGUCUCAAAGAUUAAGCCAUGCAUGUCUAAGUGUAAGCAAUUUCACGGUGAAACUGCGAAUGGCUCAUUAAAUCAGUUAUGAUCUAUACGACUUCCACUUUACCAUCGGAUAACUAUGGUAAUUCUAUGGCUAAUACAACGUCUUUUGACACAUCCUUCGGGAGGUGUUGCGUCGAUUAGAUAAAAGCCAACACUGGGUUAAACCAGUACGAGGUGAAUCAUAAUCAGUGCCGUGCGAGCUCGGACAGGGUUGGAAGCCGCCGUU
Molecule: ribosomal RNA, 292 nt
Filed under: uncultured eukaryote
Lineage: Eukaryota
Description: partial 18S ribosomal RNA
Rfam family: Eukaryotic small subunit ribosomal RNA
Source: RNAcentral